This 387-nucleotide ribosomal RNA is filed under the name uncultured bacterium. RNAcentral's name for it is "bacterial SSU rRNA". It matches the Rfam family "Bacterial small subunit ribosomal RNA", at positions 28 to 417 of the family's 1533-position model. The record is from RNAcentral.
GACGAACGCUGGCGGCGUGCUUAACACAUGCAAGUCGAGCGGUAAGGCCCUUUCGGGGGUACACGAGCGGCGAACGGGUGAGUAACACGUGGGUGACCUGCCCUCAGCUCUGGGAUAAGCCUGGGAAACCGGGUCUAAUACUGGAUAUGACUCCAUGACGCAUGUUGUGGGGUGGAAAGCCUUGUGCGGCUGAGGAUGGGCCCGCGGCCUAUCAGCUUGUUGGUGGGGUGANGGCCUACCAAGGCGACGACGGGUAGCCGGCCUGANAGGGCGACCGGCACACUGGGACUGAGACACGGCCCAGACUCCUACGGGAGGCAGCAGUGGGGAAUCUUGCGCAAUGGGCGAAAGCCUGACGCAGCGACGCCGCGUGAGGGAUGACGGCCU